CCUACGGGAGGCAGCAGUGGGGAAUAUUGCGCAAUGGGGGAAACCCUGACGCAGCAACGCCGCGUGAGUGAGGAAGGACUUCGGUCUGUAAAGCUCUGUUAAUGAGGAAAAAUGGUAGUUGGUCUAAUAGGCCGAUUAUUUGAUGGUACUCAUAGAGGAAGCACCGGCUAACUUCGUGCCAGCAGCCGCGGUAAUACGAAGGGUGCAAGCGUUGUUCGGAUUUAUUGGGCGUAAAGCGCGCGUAGGCGGACCCGCAAGUCAGAUGUGAAAUCUCGAGGCUCAACCUCGAAACUGCGUCUGAAACUACGGGUCUAGAAUCUCGGAGGGGGAAGGGGAAUUUCGCAUGUAGGGGUAAAAUCCGUAGAUAUGCGAAGGAACACCAGAGGCGAAGGCGCCUUCCUGGACGAGUAUUGACGCUGAGGCGCGAAAGCGUGGGGAUCAAACAGGAUUAGAUACCCCGGUAGUCCACGCUGUAAACGAUGAACACUAGGUAUUGGAGGAUUUGACCCCUUCAGUGCCGUAGCUAACGCGUUAAGUGUUCCGCCUGGGAAGUACGGUCGCAAGACAAAACUCAAAGGAAUUGACGGCUGAAGACGNGCGAGCGACGACGAGGGAGAG
This 618-nucleotide ribosomal RNA is filed under the name uncultured bacterium. Its description in RNAcentral is "bacterial SSU rRNA". It matches the Rfam family "Bacterial small subunit ribosomal RNA", at positions 338 to 945 of the family's 1533-position model. The record is from RNAcentral.